Molecule: non-coding RNA, 46 nt
Organism: Strongylocentrotus purpuratus (purple sea urchin)
Lineage: Eukaryota; Metazoa; Echinodermata; Echinoidea; Camarodonta; Strongylocentrotidae
Source: Rfam
CAAACGGCCCUUUUCAGGGCCACCAUACCAGCAUGAAAGAUAUUGU